UCUUGAUCUUACAGAACAAG
RNAcentral lists this non-coding RNA (20 nucleotides) under Mus musculus (house mouse). The record is from RNAcentral. Lineage: Eukaryota; Metazoa; Chordata; Mammalia; Rodentia; Muridae.